AUGUACACAAACAUAAAUAUCGCAAUGUACACAUUUACAUGGGACCUCUGGCCCACCCAGGCUCCCGUCUCUGGGUCGGGGGCCCUACGAGGGGCUGGCACGAGAAGGCGGGAACCUGGAGGAGGGCGAGGUCCUGCUCCCCUCCUCUCACAGCACCCCCAAAGCGUCCUGUCCCUUUGCAGCAGUGCUGGCCGGGCAGGGGCCAAACACCUGCGGUGGCUGGAGUCCCAGGCGUCUCCUCUGACCUUCCCAUCUGGCUCUCCUCCCAGACUCUUCCCGGGUCCUUGGGUCUCAGCCUCUGUGUCUCUUGUCUCCCCCAGGGCCUGGAGGGAGGUGGGUGCCCAUGCCCCGGCGCCAGUCCUGGCCCCUCCGGCCUCCUCCUGGGACUCACAGGAGGCUGGGGCUGCGGUGCAGCUCGGCGGAGGUGCUGGUGCCAUUGGCCGGCUCUCUGCUGGGGGCAGGGGUCACGCCGCAGCCCUCCCCGGGGCAGCCGUGCUGGAUGAGGAUGUCGGCACACUCCUGGCUGCCGGCACGGCGAGCGUAGGCCAGCGGGGUCAGGCCGCGGGCAUCCCGGCUCCGCACGUCCACCCCGUACUGCAGAAGGAAGCACGUUCUCACGGUUGGCAGGAAAGGUGUGGGUUCCCCCCCGGGUGGGGGGCGGUGGGGAGGAUGGAUGUCAGGGAGAUCAGGAAGGGCCCCCCAACUCACCCAGAUAAGCAGCUGCGUGAAGACCACAUUGGCCAUGGCGCUGGACAGGUGCAGGGCCGUCCGCCCGUCCCCGUCACCGUAGGUCUCGUUCACCUCCUCCUUGGACCCGUGCGCCAGGAGUGUCACCAGCAGCCGCAGGUCGUCCUCCACCACUGCCCGGAGCAGCUGCUGGCCCAGCGGCACGUCCGAGCUGNNGGCGUCGGGCCCCGGUUUAGCAUAGCCAUCCAGGGCCCCCUCCCAGACGCUGUUGGCCAGGGCGUUGCCCAUGGCGGUCAUGACGGCCAGCAGCUCGGGUGGCCAGUCGUCGAGGUCGAGUGAGCGGACCCGGGAAAGGUGAGCUCCCAAAUGCCGGUGCGUCCCGGAGCACUCGAUGCACAUGAGCGCGCCCAGGUUCAGGCUGGCCCAGUCUGGAUCUAGGCGAGGAGAGGAGAUGAUGGAGCCCCUCCACCCUCGAGCUCCCCGCACCCGGAGCGCCCAGCCUGGUCCCACCGCCCC
This 1203-nucleotide long non-coding RNA is filed under the name Ovis aries (sheep). RNAcentral describes it as "lncRNA (ENSOARG00000025266.1)". The record is from RNAcentral. Lineage: Eukaryota; Metazoa; Chordata; Mammalia; Artiodactyla; Bovidae.